Molecule: non-coding RNA, 995 nt
Organism: Camellia sinensis
Lineage: Eukaryota; Viridiplantae; Streptophyta; Magnoliopsida; Ericales; Theaceae
Source: RefSeq, a predicted model, not a curated record
UUCCUCCCUUCCUUCGUUACAAGUCUUCACUAUUUUCUCUGUGGUUGGAAGCUCACUUCAUUAUUCUCUUCUACUGUCAAGCAGGCUUCCUCCCUUCCCUUCCUUUCAAGUCCUCGCCCUCUCUCUCUCUCUCUCUCUCUUUGUGUGUUUCAAGUUAAUUUGCUUCCAGGCUUCCUCCCUCCUCUCUCUCUCUCUCUCUCUCUCUGUUUAGAGUUAAUUUGCUUCUAGGCUUCCUCCCUUCCCUUCCUUGCAAGUACACCUCUCUCUCUCUCUCUCUGUUUCAAGUUAAUUUGCUUCCAGGUACUUCUCAUUUCCUUUAUCUCUUGUAAUUUUCUCAAACUCUAUAUUUGAAUUAUGUAUUUAAAUUAUGAAUUUAGAUAGAGAUUUGAAAAUAAAAAGAGAAAUAAAGAAAAAUUUUAACUUAUAUUUCAUUCACAUUUAUCUCAUUUUUUAAUUUUUUUUCUUAAAACUCCUACUUAAAUUUAUAAUCCAAACACAACUUAAAUAUAUGCUUGUAUAAUGUUUGAUUCAUUUUAGAAAAUUAACAUGCAUACAUAUAAAUGCUCGGAUUAGCUUCUCUCUCCUAUUUUAUUUUAUUUAUUAUUAUCAUAAUAUAUCUCAAUAUAUAGUGAGGUGUAUAUAUUAUACACUUGGUGUAUAAUUUUAUACAGUGUCGUUGCAUUUUUUAUGGGUGCUCAAUUUUCCGUACUUCAUAAUUUAUUGUUGUUGUUGAAUGUUGUGUUUAUGAUUUUUGGUUGGUUAGAUAUGUGUGUCCACUCUGUCGACACCAGUUUGUAGUAGCACAGAUGUGAGAAAGCAAUUUUCCUCAAAACAAUCAUAUAUUUUUGUGUUGGAGAUAGAAAACGGUAAGUUGGUACUGACCAUUUGAAUAAGAAUUUAAAAAGACAAAAUAAAAAUAUGAAUAAAAUAUAUUUUUUAAUUUCUUUUUAAAUAUUUUAAUCAUUUUUUAAUUUUUAGAUCCAUUUAAAAUACAC